RNAcentral lists this non-coding RNA (93 nucleotides) under human gut metagenome. RNAcentral's name for it is "SAM riboswitch (S box leader)". It matches the Rfam family "SAM riboswitch aptamer (S box leader)". Rfam says of the family: The SAM riboswitch is found upstream of a number of genes which code for proteins involved in methionine or cysteine biosynthesis in Gram-positive bacteria. The record is from RNAcentral.
CUUAUCAAGAGUGGCGGAGGGACCGGCCCUAUGAAGCCCGGCAACCUGCAUUUGCAAGGUGCCAAAUCCGGCGGUGUAAAUCGAAAGAUGAGG